UCCCUGGUGGCUCAGUUGGUAAAGAAUCUGCUUCCAGUGCAGGAAACUUGGGUUCGAAUCCUGGUUUGGGAA
This 72-nucleotide transfer RNA is filed under the name Ovis aries (sheep). It matches the Rfam family "tRNA". Rfam says of the family: Transfer RNA (tRNA) molecules are approximately 80 nucleotides in length. Their secondary structure includes four short double-helical elements and three loops (D, anti-codon, and T loops). Lineage: Eukaryota; Metazoa; Chordata; Mammalia; Artiodactyla; Bovidae. The record is from Rfam by way of RNAcentral.